This is a non-coding RNA of Cajanus cajan (pigeon pea), 292 nucleotides long. NCBI's taxonomy places the organism in Eukaryota, Viridiplantae, Streptophyta, Magnoliopsida, Fabales, Fabaceae. The record is from RefSeq and is a predicted model, not a curated record.
CAAAUUCAUAAAUUCAUCGAUAGGGAGAGGUAGAUUCGAGGAUUUCAGUUCGAGGAAGUCACGCGUUUGAGCUUGGACGAAUUCGAAGGCCAACAUUUCCAACAAUCGUGAUAAUUUAGCGUUUGGAUGUCUCAACAGGAGCCUUGCCUAUUGUCGCAUAUGCGUAUUUAUAACAAGUCUGUACUUGAGUGGGAAAUUGCAGUUGGCUUACGUUACAAGCCAGAGACAUUUCAGAAAGUUCAUCCACGUCAUCCGUGAAGCACAUCUGGAUCUGGUAUGAGUUAAAACAGGU